AACGUACGCUGGCGGCACGCCUAACACAUGCAAGUCGAACGAAGUAGCAAUACUUAGUGGCAGACGGGUGAGUAACAUGUAGGUAUCUACCCUAUGGCCUGGAAUAACACGAGGAAACUUGUGCUAAUACCAGAUAAGUCUUUACGGAGAAAGCUUUAUGCACCAUUGGAUGAGCCUGCACUUGAUUAGUUUGUUGGUGGGGUAAUGGCCUACCAAGACUGUGAUCAAUAGCUGAUUUGAGAGGAUGAUCAGCCACAUUGGGACUGAGACACGGCCCAAACUCCUACGGGAGGCAGCAGUGGGGAAUCUUGCACAAUGGAGGAAACUCUGAUGCAGCGAUGCCGCGUGAGUGAAGAAGGCCCUUGGGUUGUAAAGCUCUUUCAUCGGGGAAGAAAAUGACUGUACCCAAAGAAGAAGGUCCGGCUAACUUCGUG
Molecule: ribosomal RNA, 434 nt
Filed under: uncultured bacterium
Lineage: Bacteria
Description: bacterial SSU rRNA
Rfam family: Bacterial small subunit ribosomal RNA
Source: RNAcentral